UCUGUUCUCCACAUGCAGAGUACAGGCAACUCCUGCUUAACGCUGUUUCAUUUAGUACUAUUUUGCUAUAACUCUCAUUUGAACUUGAUACCUGAUUUCACUUAGCGCUUAGCAAGUUUUGUUAUAAUGCCUGCGGUUACCAUCUUGGGUCAUUA
Molecule: long non-coding RNA, 155 nt
Organism: Gavialis gangeticus (Gharial)
Lineage: Eukaryota; Metazoa; Chordata; Crocodylia; Gavialidae
Exons: 3
Source: RefSeq, a predicted model, not a curated record